This 460-nucleotide ribosomal RNA is filed under the name uncultured bacterium. Its description in RNAcentral is "partial 16S ribosomal RNA". It matches the Rfam family "Bacterial small subunit ribosomal RNA", at positions 338 to 795 of the family's 1533-position model. The record is from RNAcentral.
CCUACGGGAGGCAGCAGUGAGGAAUAUUGGUCAAUGGCCGGAAGGCUGAACCAGCCAUGCCGCGUGAAGGUCAGUGCCCUAUGGGCGUUAAACUUCUUUUGUGCGGGAGCAAUAAUGGUCACGUGUGGCCAGACGAGAGUACCGUACGAAUAAGCAUCGGCUAACUCCGUGCCAGCAGCCGCGGUAAUACGGGGGAUGCAAGCGUUAGCCGGAUUUAUUGGGUUUAAGGGGUGCGUAGGCUGUGAGGUAAGUCAGCGGGGAAAUGCCCCCGCUCAACGGGGUGAAGUGCCAUUGAUACUGCCUUGCUGGAAUGCGGAUGCCGUGGGAGGAAUGUGUGGUGUAGCGGUGAAAUGCAUAGAUAUCACACAGAACACCGAUUGCGAAGGCAUCUCACGAAUCCGCGAUUGACGCUGAUGCACGAAAGCGUGGGUAUCAAACAGGAUUAGAUACCCUAGUAGUC